This 301-nucleotide ribosomal RNA is filed under the name uncultured bacterium. Its description in RNAcentral is "partial 16S ribosomal RNA". It matches the Rfam family "Bacterial small subunit ribosomal RNA", at positions 509 to 807 of the family's 1533-position model. The record is from RNAcentral.
CAGUCGCCGCGGUAAUACGUAGGGUGCGAGCGUUAAUCGGAAUUACUGGGCGUAAAGCGUGCGCAGGCGGUUGUGUAAGACAGGUGUGAAAUCCCCGGGCUUAACCUGGGAACUGCGCUUGUGACUGCAAAGCUAGAGUGCGGCAGAGGGGGAUGGAAUUCCGCGUGUAGCAGUGAAAUGCGUAGAUAUGCGGAGGAACACCGAUGGCGAAGGCAAUCCCCUGGGCCUGCACUGACGCUCAUGCACGAAAGCGUGGGGAGCAAACAGGAUUAGAUACCCCUGUAGUCCCUGUCUCUUAUAC